This 73-nucleotide transfer RNA is filed under the name Kibdelosporangium phytohabitans. RNAcentral's name for it is "Kibdelosporangium sp. KLBMP 1111 tRNA". It matches the Rfam family "tRNA". From Rfam's summary of the family: Transfer RNA (tRNA) molecules are approximately 80 nucleotides in length. Their secondary structure includes four short double-helical elements and three loops (D, anti-codon, and T loops). RNAcentral also lists the same sequence under 2 other names. Lineage: Bacteria; Bacillati; Actinomycetota; Actinomycetes; Pseudonocardiales; Pseudonocardiaceae. The record is from Rfam by way of RNAcentral.
GCUCACGUGGCCCAGUGGCUAGGGCAGCUCCCUGUCGAGGAGACGAUCGCGGGUUCGAGUCCCGUCGUGAGCG